This 203-nucleotide unclassified non-coding RNA is filed under the name Hevea brasiliensis (rubber tree). The record is from RNAcentral. Lineage: Eukaryota; Viridiplantae; Streptophyta; Magnoliopsida; Malpighiales; Euphorbiaceae.
UUCUUCCUCAUCGCAAUCAAGCCAUUUGAGAUUGCGGUUCCUACCAGUCCGGCGGCGAAACCAACAGUUGCAAAGAUGGUACCUUUGUACACAAAAGUACCCAGUCGAUUCAUGAGGGAAAAAGCACCGGGCUCAAACAUGUGGCUCGUUGGGCAAUUUGCGAAGAUGGCAGGGAGAGUGGUACUUGCAGCAGACGCAGUAGG